AGAGUUUGAUCCUGGCUCAGGACGAACGCUGGCGGCGUGCCUAACACAUGCAAGUCGAACGGGGUGAGGCCCUUCGGGACCUUUACCUAGUGGCGAACGGGUGAGUAACGCGUGAGGAACCUGCCUUUCAGUGGGGGACAACAGUUGGAAACGACUGCUAAUACCGCAUGAAGCUUUUGGGAGACAUCUCCUGGAAGCCAAAGCUUAAUGUGCUGAAAGAUGGCCUCGCGUCUGAUUAGCUAGUUGGUGGGGUAACGGCCCACCAAGGCGACGAUCAGUAGCCGGUCUGAGAGGAUGAACGGCCACAUUGGGACUGAGAUACGGCCCAGACUCCUACGGGAGGCAGCAGUGGGGAAUAUUGGGCAAUGGGCGAAAGCCUGACCCAGCAACGCCGCGUGAAGGAAGAAGGCCUUCGGGUUGUAAACUUCUUUUACCAGGGACGAAGGACGUGACGGUACCUGGAGAAAAAGCAACGGCUAACUACGUGCCAGCAGCCGCGGUAAUACGUAGGUUGCAAGCGUUGUCCGGAUUUACUGGGUGUAAAGGGCGUGUAGGCGGAGAUGCAAGUUAGGAGUGAAAUCUAUGGGCUCAACCCAUAAACUGCUUCUAAAACUGUAUCCCUUGAGUAUCGGAGAGGCAAGCGGAAUUCCUAGUGUAGCGGUGAAAUGCGUAGAUAUUAGGAGGAACACCAGUGGCGAAGGCGGCUUGCUGGACGACAACUGACGCUGAGGCGCGAAAGCGUGGGGAGCAAACAGGAUUAGAUACCCUGGUAGUCCACGCUGUAAACGAUGAAUACUAGGUGUGGGGGGACUGACCCCCUCCGUGCCGCAGUUAACACAAUAAGUAUUCCACCUGGGGAGUACGACCGCAAGGUUGAAACUCAAAGGAAUUGACGGGGGCCCGCACAAGCAGUGGAUUAUGUGGUUUAAUUCGACGCGACGCGAAGAACCUUACCAGGACUUGACAUCCAACUAACGAAGUAGAGAUACAUCAGGUGCCCUUCGGGGAAAGUUGAGACAGGUGGUGCAUGGUUGUCGUCAGCUCGUGUCGUGAGAUGUUGGGUUAAGUCCCGCAACGAGCGCAACCCCUAUUGUUAGUUGCUACGAAAGAGCACUCUAGCGAGACUGCCGUUGACAAAACGGAGGAAGGCGGGGACGACGUCAAAUCAUCAUGCCCCUUAUGUCCUGGGCUACACACGUAAUACAAUGGUGGCCAACAGAGGGAAGCGAAGCCGUGAGGCAGAGCAAAUCCCUAAAAGCCAUCUCAGUUCGGAUUGCAGGCUGCAACUCGCCUGCAUGAAGCUGGAAUUGCUAGUAAUCGCGGAUCAGCAUGCCGCGGUGAAUACGUUCCCGGGCCUUGUACACACCGCCCGUCACACCAUGAGAGUCGGGAACACCCGAAGUCCGUAGUCUAACCGCAGGGGGGCGCGGCCGAAGGUGGGUCCGGUAAUUGGGGUGAAGUCGUAACAAGGUA
This 1473-nucleotide ribosomal RNA is filed under the name metagenome. Its description in RNAcentral is "bacterial SSU rRNA". It matches the Rfam family "Bacterial small subunit ribosomal RNA". The record is from RNAcentral.